AGCUUUGCACAGUGGCAGUACCAUAGCCAAUGAGGUUUAUCUGAGGCACGAUUACUGCUAAUUGAAAGAUCUCACAGUUUACAAUCCAGUGAAAUGUGCCCAUAUUCUACAUUAAUGUAAUUGACGUAUAACUAUGUA
Molecule: small nuclear RNA, 138 nt
Organism: Neogale vison (American mink)
Lineage: Eukaryota; Metazoa; Chordata; Mammalia; Carnivora; Mustelidae
Gene: U4
Rfam family: U4 spliceosomal RNA
About the family: U4 small nuclear RNA (U4 snRNA) is a component of the major U2-dependent spliceosome.
Source: Ensembl